This 1022-nucleotide ribosomal RNA is filed under the name Neisseria sp. HMSC066B07. RNAcentral's name for it is "bacterial LSU rRNA". It matches the Rfam family "Bacterial large subunit ribosomal RNA", at positions 806 to 1822 of the family's 2925-position model. The record is from RNAcentral. Lineage: Bacteria; Pseudomonadati; Pseudomonadota; Betaproteobacteria; Neisseriales; Neisseriaceae.
GAGCUGUGGAUAGGGGUGAAAGGCUAAACAAACUUGGAAAUAGCUGGUUCUCUCCGAAAACUAUUUAGGUAGUGCCUCAAGUAUUACCAUCGGGGGUAGAGCACUGUUUUGGCUAGGGGGUCAUGGCGACUUACCAAACCAAGGCAAACUCCGAAUACCGAUGAGUACAGCUUGGGAGACAGAGCACCGGGUGCUAACGUCCGGACUCAAGAGGGAAACAACCCAGACCGCCAGCUAAGGUCCCUAAAAUUGGCUAAGUGGGAAACGAAGUGGGAAGGCUAAAACAGUCAGGAUGUUGGCUUAGAAGCAGCCAUCAUUUAAAGAAAGCGUAAUAGCUCACUGAUCGAGUCGUCCUGCGCGGAAGAUGUAACGGGGCUAAGCCAGUUACCGAAGCUGCGGAUUUGCAAUUUAUUGCAAGUGGUAGGAGAGCGUUCUGUAAGCCUGUGAAGGUGCGUUGUAAAGCGUGCUGGAGGUAUCAGAAGUGCGAAUGCUGACAUGAGUAGCGUUAAAGGGGGUGAAAAGCCCCCUCGCCGUAAGCGCAAGGUUUUCUACGCAACGUUCAUCGGCGUAGAGUGAGUCGGCCCCUAAGGCGAGGCAGAGAUGCGUAGCUGAUGGGAAACAGGUCAAUAUUCCUGUACCGAUUGUUAGUGCGAUGUGGGGACGGAUCUUAAUAGGUCAUCCGGGUGUUGGAUAUCCCGGUUUAGAUGGAUGUAGGCGUGCAUUAGGCAAAUCCGGUGCACAUAUACCGAGGCCAUCGAUCGAGCCAGCUUGCUGGUGAAGUGACUGAACGAGGUUCCAGGAAAAGCCACUAAGCUUCAGCUAACAACGACCGUACCGCAAACCGACACUGGUGCGCGAGAUGAGUAUUCUAAGGCGCUUGAGAGAACUCAGGAGAAGGAACUCGGCAAAUUGACACCGUAACUUCGGAAGAAGGUGUGCCCUAUUAGUGUGAAGUGAACAACGGAGCAUGAAUGGGUUGCAAAAAAUCGGUGGCUGCGACUGUUUAUUAAAAACACAGCACU